This 69-nucleotide transfer RNA is filed under the name Ictidomys tridecemlineatus (thirteen-lined ground squirrel). RNAcentral describes it as "Spermophilus tridecemlineatus (thirteen-lined ground squirrel) tRNA". It matches the Rfam family "tRNA". Rfam says of the family: Transfer RNA (tRNA) molecules are approximately 80 nucleotides in length. The record is from Rfam by way of RNAcentral. Lineage: Eukaryota; Metazoa; Chordata; Mammalia; Rodentia; Sciuridae.
GGAGUUGUGGCUUAGUGGUAAAGCACUUGCCUAGCAUGUGUGAGGCACUGGGUUCAAUUCUCAGCACCA